UUACAAGCAACCUGUCCUCAAGUCUCUAGACCUUGAAGUACAAGCAAACAACAAUUCUAGAGCCUACCAACAACAUUUUAUUUAAUUAUUUACAAUCUACACUAUUGCUACCUACUACACUGUAAGCUACUCGAGAGCUAUAAUUGGCUCUCGAACUGUUCCCGGAGGCUCGGAGUAGCUCUCGAGCCACUCGAAAAUUUUCUGCAAACUCCGAUCCUGCUUUAAGAUUUCAUCUGUGCCCUGGUGUUCUCCUCUUGUGCUGUCCUAGGAUUCUUUGUACCUAAUUAGAUCGCCUCCUUUGAUAUCCAUCUUAGCUCGCGAGCUAUCCCUGAGAACCCUUUUGUCCGUCUCCUUUUCUUCAUCUUUUU
This 368-nucleotide long non-coding RNA is filed under the name Zostera marina. RNAcentral describes it as "long non-coding RNA (ZMAR_LNC003360)". Lineage: Eukaryota; Viridiplantae; Streptophyta; Magnoliopsida; Alismatales; Zosteraceae. The record is from RNAcentral.